This 671-nucleotide long non-coding RNA is filed under the name Volvox carteri. Its description in RNAcentral is "long non-coding RNA (VCAR_LNC002329)". Lineage: Eukaryota; Viridiplantae; Chlorophyta; Chlorophyceae; Chlamydomonadales; Volvocaceae. The record is from RNAcentral.
AAAGGGAGGGAGGGCUCUAUGGCAUACAUUCGACCGGUCACCGAUUGGAAUGGAAUACAAAGUUUAACGCACUGAACUACACAACAAGCCUUACCAGGUAUAAGAAGUUUCUUGUCCUUUCGAUAUCUGGUUCAGUGAAGCGAGACCAGACCUGCCUGCUGAGAUGCUGUAUACUACUGUGCUGGGCGGUGCACGCACACACCAGCGAACACUGUUACGGCUCUAGAUCGCCGUGUCAACUCCAGCCAGCCAGUACUCCAUCGUAUUUAAGAGGCACUGAAGGGAAUCGGCGCGAGUACGCAAUGAUUUUGAAACAUCAGAAAACUUAAGGGUCAUCUCACCGUCAGGACUGCUGCACGGUUAGUAGAAUUGCACCGUUGAUACGAGCGCGGCGGCUAUUGACCAUCGGCGGAUUGGCCGAUUGUGAUGGCCGCACCGUUUCGCAAAAACACAGACACGCAACGGAGACUAAGUCGAUUAGUAAAACCCAUGUAUAUUGAUGCAGAUCUUUGUAGGUGGACACACAGCACAACGGCUGCUUUGCGACACUUAGACUUUGCACAACAGAAUGCGGGAGGAGAAACUGGUUCUGCCUUUAGAUGUUGGAAAGCUCCUGAACUGGAAAGAAAAUGGCAGCAGCUCGCGCAUUACAAAAAGAUUGCACAGUGGCA